This is a non-coding RNA of Plasmodium billcollinsi, 1039 nucleotides long. The record is from the annotation of a GenBank genome assembly. Lineage: Eukaryota; Apicomplexa; Aconoidasida; Haemosporida; Plasmodiidae.
GAAAAUAAUGUAUAAUAAUAAAAAUGCUGAAGGCAGAAAAAAAGUAUUUUUUCGUUAAUAUAUUAUUAAAUAUUUUAUCAAGCGCUUUUUUAUAUUUUUUAUAUAUUUUAUAAUUGUUAGGAUCUUAAUAUUAUUUCAUUUAAUUAUAAAUAAAUAUAUAUAUAUUAUAUGUUUUAAUCAUAUAAUAUAUUUUACAUAAUAUUAAUCUGGCUUUUACAAUUUUAUUAAUUAUUUUAUAAUAUAUUCACGUGAAAAAAGUUUUUUAGAAUUUAAUAAUUUAAACAAUAAUAAAAACAAUUUUUUUGCCAUUUUUUUUUUCAUUACGUAUAAAUACUAUUUUUCAAAAUUGGAAAUAAAAAAUAAAGGAAAAUCACGAAAAAAUUAUUUAUUAUGUUAAUAAUUUAUUACGCAUUUAACAAUUUAUUGUACCCAAAUAGGCAUGUUAAGUAAAGUAAGUGGGGGGGGUAUACAUAUAUGAUAUAUAAUAAUAUGUGCAUUCUUUUUUUGAAUACAUUUUUAUUAUAUCGUUUAUAUAUAAAAUGAACAUAAAAUUGAACUACAUAAAUAUGGCAUUUUUUCAUAAAGUCGAAUCUCAUGUUAAAAAUGUAAUCCUUAUGAAUUAUCAUUGGACAAACAUUUGUGAAAGGGAUAUAAAAACAUAAAGUAUUUCUUUACAUAUAUAUUCAAGUAAAUAUGUCCUCAUGAGGGUAAAUAAAUAUAAUGUAAAAUAUGCUUUUACUUUAAAUAUUUUUAAUUUUUAAAAUUUGGGAUUAUAAAGAUAUUAUAACAAAAUAUUAUAUAAUAUAUAUAUAUAUAUAUAUAUAAUGUGCGUAAUUUAUAUAUUUUUUUCCUUUCAUGAAAAUGUAAUUAAUAUAAUUUGUGGAAUGUUAAUUUAAUUGGUUGUUUUAUAUAUAAUAUAUAUAUAUAUAUAUAUAUUAUCCAUGAGCUAAUCUGUUAUAUUGAAUGAAUAGUAUACAUUAAGAAAUGAAAAAAUUUUAAAAAGAAAGAAAAAAUCUACAUCGGUUUUUUCUUCAUUUUA